This 460-nucleotide ribosomal RNA is filed under the name uncultured bacterium. RNAcentral's name for it is "partial 16S ribosomal RNA". It matches the Rfam family "Bacterial small subunit ribosomal RNA", at positions 338 to 795 of the family's 1533-position model. The record is from RNAcentral.
CCUACGGGAGGCAGCAGUGAGGAAUAUUGGUCAAUGGGCGAGAGCCUGAACCAGCCAAGUCGCGUGAAGGAUGACGGUCCUAUGGGUUGUAAACCUCUUUAGGCGGGGAGCAAUGCGGGGCACGCGUGGGCGGAGGGAGAGUACCCGAAGAAAAAGCAUCGGCUAACUCCGUGCCAGCAGCCGCGGUAAUACGGAGGAUGCGAGCGUUAUCCGGAUUUAUUGGGUUUAAAGGGUGCGUAGGCGGAAUAUCAAGUCAGCGGUAAAAAUUCGGGGCUCAACCCCGUCGUGCCGUUGAAACUGAUGUUCUUGAGUGGGCGAGAAGUAUGCGGAAUGCGUGGUGUAGCGGUGAAAUGCAUAGAUAUCACGCAGAACUCCGAUUGCGAAGGCAGCAUACCGGCGCCCAACUGACGCUGAAGCACGAAAGCGUGGGUAUCGAACAGGAUUAGAUACCCUGGUAGUC